CCGAGUUAGGGUCCUCUCGGGCCCGACCUCCCAACCCGAUGUUUAUCAAACCUAUGUUGCUUCGGCGGGCCCGUCUCACGACCGCCGGAGGGCCGUAAAACGUCCUCUGGCCCGCGCCCGCCGGCGGCCAAACUUGACAAAUUCUGUUUAAAACGUGUCACUGUCUGAGUAUGAUUCAUAAUUAAAGCA
RNAcentral lists this unclassified non-coding RNA (189 nucleotides) under uncultured Cladophialophora. RNAcentral's name for it is "sequence contains ITS1". The record is from RNAcentral. Lineage: Eukaryota; Fungi; Ascomycota; Eurotiomycetes; Chaetothyriales; Herpotrichiellaceae.